Danio rerio (zebrafish) is the source of this 279-nucleotide non-coding RNA. The record is from Ensembl. NCBI's taxonomy places the organism in Eukaryota, Metazoa, Chordata, Actinopteri, Cypriniformes, Danionidae.
AGCAGACUCAAGCGCAUGGAGAACAUUAGAAACUGGACACAUAUACCACAUCCACAGUAGACAUCUGCAGUGAUUUUCAUCGCUUGUAUUUAUUUUCAGAGGAAAUGCAGCUCAGCACCACCUUCAAGAUGGGCAGUUUCCAGUGGCACCACGUGGAGGAACGGACUUCGCCACCUAUAUAUACAGGGUUGCACCUUGAGCGACGUCAUCUUUACAGCCGGGCUCAGCAGAGACCACAUUUGGAGGGUCAUCAUGACUACAGCCGGGCUCAGCAGAGAA